GGGCGGUUAGCUCAGUUGGUUAGAGCACCUGCCUUACAAGCAGGGGGUCGCAGGUUCGAGCCCUGCACCGCCCACCA
This 77-nucleotide transfer RNA is filed under the name Acidobacteriota bacterium. RNAcentral describes it as "Acidobacteria bacterium tRNA-Val". It matches the Rfam family "tRNA". From Rfam's summary of the family: Transfer RNA (tRNA) molecules are approximately 80 nucleotides in length. Their secondary structure includes four short double-helical elements and three loops (D, anti-codon, and T loops). Lineage: Bacteria; Pseudomonadati; Acidobacteriota. The record is from RNAcentral.